This is a long non-coding RNA of Glycine soja, 1046 nucleotides long. RefSeq lists it as uncharacterized. The transcript is spliced from 2 exons. NCBI's taxonomy places the organism in Eukaryota, Viridiplantae, Streptophyta, Magnoliopsida, Fabales, Fabaceae. The record is from RefSeq and is a predicted model, not a curated record.
UCACAAUUGUUCCCGACAACAUAAACACCACCGCCACACCUAAUCUUAUUUUAUUGCUUUCAUUUACCAACCUUGUCCAUCUCCAUACAUUGCUUGCAAUUACAUACCACCACCUUAUAACUCCAUCUUAUGCUACCCACACAUCUCAUACAUGCCAACUUCACACCAUUCUAUCAGUUUCUAAAAUUUCAUUUGUGUAAUGCAUUAUGACCACAUGCCACAACACCAACGAAACCAACACACAAUCCCAAUUUCUCCAACACGCCAUCCCCUCUCCAAUACCUAUUUUAAACCAUGAUUUCUUUUCCCCCAAAGCCAGCAGCAUACCACUUAGUACCCUUCUUCAACUCUCCCUCUUGGAUACCAUUCACAAACCCCAAAUGCAUGCUUGUUUUCUUCCCUAUUUCCCUAAGCCAUGCUCUUCAAUAGCUUAAAGAGGUGUUCUUAGCAUCUGUCAACGGAACUUGAAUUGCAUAGGUGUUGUCCUCCCGUAGUAUAGGAAGCAAAAAGGUCACACGUGCCAAUCGGAUAUUCGCACUAAAAGAUAUGCUGAUUGCAAGUUUGACAAACAAGAUGCACGAGGAACUCGAACGAAACUCGAAGGACAAACAGCAGACUCCUCGCCAAUCUUAGGUUCGGGGCGUGUGAGAUAAUCCACUGUAGGUGGAUGUUUAAUGAUUGUUGGGAGCACCUCGCUCCCGACAUCUUAUAGUUCCGUGCAAUAACAUAUUUUGUGUAAUGUGAUUGGCUCUGUGAAUUGGGAUUGAGAUUUGUGCUUGUGCCAAUUGUGAUUGGCUCUAUGAAUUAGUUCUGAGAUAUUGUAGUCGUGUGAAUUUAAUACUAAUUGAGUGCUUUUGAUCUGUCCUAGGUGAGACUUUGAACAUUCUUAAAAUGGUUGAAGUUAUACAACUAAGAUUAGCAUAUAAGAUAUAGGAUAUAUCAUGUGUUAGUGAAAGGAAUGUGAUUGUGUUGGUGUGUAAUGACACGUGAUUGUUUUGAUGACAUGAAUAUAGUGUGAGAAUAUGAAUGAUUAUGUUUCUUUCUAA